This 255-nucleotide ribosomal RNA is filed under the name uncultured bacterium. RNAcentral describes it as "partial 16S ribosomal RNA". It matches the Rfam family "Bacterial small subunit ribosomal RNA", at positions 524 to 776 of the family's 1533-position model. The record is from RNAcentral.
UACGUAGGGUGCAAGCGUUGUCCGGAAUUAUUGGGCGUAAAGAGCUCGUAGGCGGUUUGUCGCGUCUGCUGUGAAAACUGGAGGCUCAACCUCCAGCCUGCAGUGGGUACGGGCAAACUAGAGUGCGGUAGGGGGAGAUUGGAAUUCCUGGUGUAGCGGUGGAAUGCGCAGAUAGUCAGGAGGAACACCGAUGGCGAAGGCGGGUCUCUGGGCCGAUACUGACGCUGAGGAGCGAAAGCGUGGGGAGCGAACAGG